AUUGAACGCUGGCGGCAGGCCUAACACAUGCAAGUCGAACGGUAACAGGAAGCAGCUUGCUGCUUUGCUGACGAGUGGCGGACGGGUGAGUAAUGUCUGGGAAACUGCCUGAUGGAGGGGGAUAACUACUGGAAACGGUAGCUAAUACCGCAUAACGUCGCAAGACCAAAGAGGGGGACCUUCGGGCCUCUUGCCAUCGGAUGUGCCCAGAUGGGAUAGCUUGUUGGUGGGGUAACGGCUCACCAAGGCGACGAUCCCUAGCUGGUCUGAGAGGAUGACCAGCCACACUGGAACUGAGACACGGUCCAGACUCCUACGGGAGGCAGCAGUGGGGAAUAUUGCACAAUGGGCGCAAGCCUGAUGCAGCCAUGCCGCGUGUAUGAAGAAGGCCUUCGGGUUGUAAAGUACUUUCAGCGGGGAGGAAGGGAGUAAAGUUAAUACCUUUACUCAUUGACGUUACCCGCAGAAGAAGCACCGGCUAACUCCGUG
This 489-nucleotide ribosomal RNA is filed under the name uncultured bacterium. Its description in RNAcentral is "partial 16S ribosomal RNA". It matches the Rfam family "Bacterial small subunit ribosomal RNA", at positions 30 to 507 of the family's 1533-position model. The record is from RNAcentral.